This 253-nucleotide ribosomal RNA is filed under the name uncultured bacterium. RNAcentral describes it as "partial 16S ribosomal RNA". It matches the Rfam family "Bacterial small subunit ribosomal RNA", at positions 524 to 776 of the family's 1533-position model. The record is from RNAcentral.
AACGUAGGACACAAGCGUUAUCCGGAGUUACUGGGCGUAAAGGGCGUGUAGGCGGAGAUGUAAGUCUAUUCUGAAAGCUCCUGGCUAAACUGGGAGAGGCGAAUGGAGACUGCAUAUCUAGAGUGAGGAAGAGGAAAGUGGAAUUCCGCGUGUAGUGGUGAAAUGCGUAGAGAUCCGGAAGAACACCGGUGGCGAAGGCGGUUAGCUGGGCAGUAGCUGACACUGAGGCGCGACAGCGUGGGGAGCAAACAGG